RNAcentral lists this ribosomal RNA (776 nucleotides) under uncultured Neocallimastigales. Its description in RNAcentral is "partial large subunit ribosomal RNA". It matches the Rfam family "Eukaryotic large subunit ribosomal RNA", at positions 22 to 627 of the family's 3401-position model. Lineage: Eukaryota; Fungi; Neocallimastigomycota; Neocallimastigomycetes; Neocallimastigales. The record is from RNAcentral.
AUAUCAGUCAUGCAUAGCAUAUCAAUAAGCGGAGGAAAAGAAACUAACAAGGAUUCCCUUAGUAACGGCGAGUGAAGCGGGAAGAGCUCAAAUUUGAAAUCUUCAAGGUUCUACCUUGACGAAUUGUAGUUUAUAGAAGUGUUUUCUGUUGGAGUUUCGGUAAAAGUUCUUUGGAAUAGGACAUCAUAGAGGGUGAGAAUCCCGUAUUUGACCGUUACUUUCCAGCUGUGUGAUACACUUUCAAAGAGUCGGAUUGUUUGGGAAUGCAGUCCAAAAUGGGUGGUAAAUUUCAUCUAAAGCUAAAUAUUGGCGAGAGACCGAUAGCGAACAAGUACCGUGAGGGAAAGAUGAAAAGAACUUUGAAAAGAGAGUUAAACAGUACGUGAAAUUGUCAAAAGGGAAGCGUUUGACACCAGUGUUGUUUAGUUGAAAAUCAAUUCAAUAAUUUUUGAUUUUGAGUAGUAUUGACUUCAUCAGCUUGCUGCUUUCUUUUCAGGAAAUUAUUGAAUGCACUUUUCAGUUAACAAGUCAACAUCAAUUUCUUUUGUUGUAAAAGGGUAAGAGGAAGGUGGCUUACGCUUCGGCGUAAGUGUUUAUAGCCUUUUACCUCUGCAAUCGGAGAGAUUGAGGACAGCAGCGUAGACUCUUCGGGGUUAGAUACACUUGUGCUAAGCUAUAGCCUUGUAUAGACAACUUGUUGACUAUGCUCAGUCAUGUAGCUUACUCGCUUAUGCUAUUUUACCUACGCUUAGGAUGUUGAUGUGAUACUGCGAGCA